RNAcentral lists this long non-coding RNA (4238 nucleotides) under Homo sapiens (human). RNAcentral's name for it is "HSALNT0025113". Lineage: Eukaryota; Metazoa; Chordata; Mammalia; Primates; Hominidae. The record is from RNAcentral.
AAAACAUUCGAGUCAUUUGGCCCAAAAGGUUUAUUUUAAAGAUGAAGAGAUGAAGUCACUUGUUCAAGACUGCACAGCUGGUUAUCAGAGGACUUGAGGGCAGAACUCAUGUCACUCCUCACUCAUAGUUCCAGGUUCUUAGAAACAAGCACUUUUCAGAAAGUGCUCAGGCCCUCACCCCAAACCUCACUGCUCCUGGAUAACCCUGCACGUGUCGAAGCUGUAGAUGUCUAAGAAAUCAAGGGCACUGGCUUUUCUGCAUUCUCCAGGGAGAAAGUUCCAAGGCACUGGGGAGCCAGGGCAGCGGGGUUUUCAAAGGCCUGCAGCGGGAGCCCUGCUCACAGGGAUGCCAUCCAGAUGUCCUCAUGUCCCCUCUGCACAUGAAAGCCUCACACUGCUCCCGUCCCCUCCAGUCCCCCCUGCCUCCCACAGCAGCAGAACUGCACGAGGCUUCCCCCAGCCCCGGGGCACACAUUCAAAACACCUAGGAACGCCGCUGGGAACUCCCGCCUGAAAGGACAGGCCGCCGGCUGCAGGGCGCUGAGAUGGAUGCAGGGACCUGCCCUUUUCCUCCGUCCGCUGGUUGCCUCCACUGGUCAUUUGCUGUGGCAGGGCAGAAGAAAACAACGAAAUCGCAGGGCACACAGAAGUCAAACUGACACAUAACCACACUCAGAGGAGAGGACCCAACUGCUAAGCAGCUUGAAUGGGAAAGUGAAGGAUCGCGGUGUCACCUUUAGGAUCCCUCGCCUGAAGUCAGGACUCACCUGAGCAGAAUGAUGGCUUCUCAGUGAAUCCCACUUCCCACUUGCAUUUCCAGAGACAAGUCUGGUUCCUCUAGAUUCACACACACAUAAAGAAAUAGUUAUCCUUCUCCUUGCCCCUGAUCUCCCACUGAACAAUGCCUGGGAUAUGUGGGUUUUGGAGUGUCUAUCAGGAAGGAUGUGUGGAGGAUUUCUCGACCCCUAUUAUUUUCCUUUCUGUGUACAAGGCAUGUGUCGGUUGCUACCUGAGCAGAGGUGGCAGCUCCAUAUAGGCUGGCUAAGAGAAGAAAACUGUUCUCACUCAGAUUCUAUAAAUUACUCGCAUUCUCACUUUAAUAUCAAGUAUGAUAUAUAUUAGAGUGCAUGGUUUUGGCUAGAAUCAAUUUGGAAGGCUGUCAAAUAAAACACAAAAUGGGAAAAUAAAUCCAAAGGAAAAUUGAUGACAUGAUUUUACUCCCAUUACAUUCCACUUAACAAAUGCAUAUGUUUUACAAUAUCUUUAAUAAUAAUUAUUAAACAUAGUAAAAUACUUCCAAACUUGGCUCAUUGCAUAAUUGUACUUCGAGUGAAAAAAAAAUUAUCUGAAGUCUUGUCAAUAUGCCACUUCCUCCUCCCCCAGCUUUUAACAGAAGCAGCCUCCAGUGGAAUAAUCCAAGCUGUGUUCAAGAAGUUGGCAAGUAGGUCCAAUUAAAUGUGGUUUUACUGUAUUCUGGCGUUUGCAUAUCUAGUUUGCCAAGAAGUAAUCUUUCACAAAAAAAAAAAAAAGAAAGAAAGAAAAAGAAAAAGAAAAAAAAUCUGUACUGGCCCAGACACAGCCUGGAUGGUGCAAUGCUUCACAUAACUUUACCCCAUGACUAAGAUAAUCGUUUUUUCUUAAAUAGCUGUGGAAAACGUAUCAUACAUCCAUCAUACUCCUAUAUGAAUCACAGAACACCAUCCUUUAUGGAGCUUCUUACAUUUAUGCAUGACAAACUGAAAUUCAUCUUCAUAGCUCUGUUUAUUUUAAUUAUUAAACUCAAAAGGGGUUAGCUUUUAGCCACCUGAACUUGAUGUAUUUAUUCAGGUGUACUCCAGUUGGAUUAUCUGAACGAGGCUAUAAAUGAUCCUAUUGACUAUUAAAGACCGACCUGUCAAAGCUGCAGUCAUACACAUUCACAACCCUGGCUACCUGAAACUCAGAGGAUAAAAUGCUUCUCUAAGCUUUGCAAAUGAAAUCCCAGGCAGUUCUUUCCUGAUGUUUUACACACCCUUGAUCCCUUAAGGAGGAGCUGACUCGCGUAGCCCCUUCCAGCUAACCACGGCUCUACAUGAACGAUCAGCCGUAUCCAAAGUCCAGAUGGAAAGCUGUCAACAAAGAGACUCCUUCCACUCUGCCUACUACAUGAUUCAUCCCUGGCGUGAAGACAGGCCCGGAGAUGGCCCCACCACCCCGACUCCCAUAGGUGAGCCAGGAGAGAAGCACAGGUGCCCACUCCCCAAGUCAGCAGGGAGGAAUCAGGUCAGAAAGUGCUGGAAAACACACAACCUGGCCUUUGUUAGAAACCAUCAUGAGCUCAUUAAAAACACAUGCAGAAAUGGUUAAACAAAAUUCUCUAAAUCUUUUACAAAAUUGCCAGUCUAUUAGAAGGACUGAGCUCACAGCAAACUCUCCCUUCCAAUGUGUGCAAUGGAGCAGCUAAUGUCCUUUGGACUCUUGUCUAUGGCAUCAAGCAGAGGGAAGCUUGGGGCGGGGGGUUGUUUGUUUUUGGUUCUUGUUGUUGUUUUUUAACUUUUUUUAGAGACCAAACUGUGAAAUAUAUCAACCAAAAGAAUUAUUUCACUAAACAUGAAUUAUUAUAGUCAUUGCCUUAAAAAACUUACAAAAAUUACAAAGUAAAAACGGAGAUUUGGGUCAUUAUAGCAAGGGGAGAAAGAAGGAAAAAAAUAGAUGACUGUGGCUUGAAUGCUUUUGUGAGGUGGCAUUGCAUCAAAGAGCAAAGUGGACACGCUGAAUGGGAAUUCUGAAGGCAUCCAAUACGCGGCCCUGUUACGUGAAAAAGUUGGAUCGUAAGUUUGACCCGUGCAAUAUUUACCCAAAGUUUUCUUGUAAGCAGCAUUGCACAUAGCAGCAUUGCAUUCCAUUGCACUGUGGCCUUUCACCAGGUGCCUUUUUCUCCAAAUGGAUUUAUUCGCUGUGAUACAGUAUAGCCAUAGAUUUGCAUUACACCACAACGUGGGCUGCACCUGCACAUAAAAGAGCACAUAGAUGAGGCAAGGCCUGAGAUUGAGAUGCUCUGAGGUGGGCUCUGGCAUGGGCCACCUUCUCCUGGUGAGAGUGGAGUAAAUCAUUUAAAUCUCCGGGUAAAUCAUUUUAAUAUGUGUGCCUCCCAGGGGAGCUGUGCUGGUUUGUUAUUAUAUAUAUUAAUCAUACUUUUAAAAAUACUUAUGAUACAAGAGUAAACAUGAACCAACGCUUUCAGUCUUGAUUUCUUCAGCCUGAAGAGAAAAAAUAUCUGUAUCCAACUUAGCCUUUGGACUAGUUAAUCAGAUAGAAAUUUGAAAGGGCUUUGAGAGAUUUGGGAUUUGAGAAAAGAAUCACAAGUACAAUGUAAGUGAUAUGAGAUGUGUAUAGCUAAACACGUACACACCUGCAAAACCCACCUGAGGAUGCGGAAUCUUUUUCAUUACUAUGGUAUUUUAGUUUUCACAUUUCAUGCAGAAACUGCUUUCCUGCUUAAUACUGAAAUAAACUUGAAACUAUCAGUGCUUGGUGAAUUUAAAUCACAAAAACCCACAUUGAAAAAAGUCUACCUUGGUAGGAAGGCUUUAGGAUAAGGAAAAAUUUCGUCUUAGUGCAAAAAAAAAUUAUUAUUGUAAUAGUGAGGUCACCUCAAAUUUGCAUAGCAUCUUUCCUCUGAAAGCUUAAUGCUUUUGCAUAUUCAUUUUCAUGUUAUUCUAAAGAAAAAGGUGACACGGGUAUGAAUAUGCUGGUCUUACAAAUGGAGAAAUGAAGGUAUCAGGGUGGGUUUCCUCGGGUGUUUCAUUGAUAGAUCUUCCCCAACUUUCUCUUGAGCCUUCUUUCCAGUAGAUGAUGCUGAGAGGAGGUGAGAAACAUUCCAAGAAACCAAGGCCAAUUUUUAGAUUAAGUGGAAAAAUAUUCAAUUCUCCCAUUUCAGCAGCAAACAAGUUUUGAGGAUCCCGUUUGGCUGCCGCCCUCGGUCCAUGUUUCAUCUCUCCCUUCUGCACGUCCAGCAACAGCUCUGACAACCCUGCAGUGACUAGCUGCAAGGAGCAGUGCCUCGUUGUGGUUGAACAAAUAACAUGUUUUGGAAACCCAAGCAACCCUUUCGUAGCUGGAAGCAGAGAGGGAGAGUGUGUUGGUCAGGAAGAUCCUGACAGGGUUUUAGCUCUUGGUGAGCUGGAAGGAGAUGGGCCAAAACAUGUCCUCUUUGACACCAUCAGAGAACGUUCUGCUGUAUGUAUUUUUUAAAUAGU